AAUACAAGCCGGCCGGUUUGCUGUUGCAGCUUGUUCGAAAGAGCGGUUG
RNAcentral lists this ribosomal RNA (49 nucleotides) under Orbilia oligospora. RNAcentral's name for it is "partial 5.8S ribosomal RNA". The record is from RNAcentral. Lineage: Eukaryota; Fungi; Ascomycota; Orbiliomycetes; Orbiliales; Orbiliaceae.